Molecule: long non-coding RNA, 1011 nt
Organism: Ananas comosus (pineapple)
Lineage: Eukaryota; Viridiplantae; Streptophyta; Magnoliopsida; Poales; Bromeliaceae
Exons: 5
Source: RefSeq, a predicted model, not a curated record
UACGUAUUAGAGACUUAUCUCUUUAGCCUCUUUUUAUCUUUUCUCCUUCUCUCCUUCUCCCUCAGCCCUAAGAGCAAAGUAGUGAAGAAGCAAGUUGGAAACCGGCAGUUUGGUGCUUGCGGGUUGUAGGAGAAUUGCCGAGCUGAAAUUCGAGUCCCUAAAGCUAAGAGGAAUUUGGAAGAGCACUUAAUUAAGCCCUGAAAUUUCAGCUUGUGGAGUCGAAAAUUCUCACUAUUGGAGCUGCUGAAUAGAAAUUUCAGCUAGGGGAAGUUUAGAAAUUAAUGAAAUUCAAGUUGAUGGUGAAGGAAGUUAGCAAGUUGAUACUUCGGUUUUAGUGGACCUUCUUGGUGUUCCGAGCUGAGAAGAAGCCUGGAGGAGAGCUUCAAAUUAAUGUAAAUAUUUAGAAUUUGGUUGUAACUAAAUUGGUUACCUUAGAAUUGUUCAAGUUAAGGGUUUCCUGCUGCUAGAAUUGGCAAGCUCGAGAGUAUUGGGCCAAGUGAAGUCGAUGCAUUAGUGCUGUCCGGACUGAGAAGUUGCUGCCCAGAUUUAGAGCGGAUUUGAGGAAGCCUUUGGAUGCUUUGAAUUUCAGCAAGCCUGAUGCUGAAAUUGCAAUUUUGGUGGAGCCUUUUUUGAUGUUUUAAGUUGAAGGAAGACCUUAGAAAGCUGAGAGCAGGGUGGUGAAGGCAUUGGAUGGAGGUCGGCGACGCACGAAUUACGGUAGAAGCCAAUUUGGCUUUAGGUGCAUUGGGUCAGUGAGAUCAUCGUUGACAUAGUUCGAGACGCUGAUUCUCGUUGUUGGCAUCCCUACAGGUUCCAGUGCGAGCAGUGUGGCCGAGGAUCGUGGCAAGAGCCCUGCAGCCUAGCUAGCUGACACCAGAGUAUAGUAGUUUACCAUUUUGGAUUUCAUGUGAUACAUUCUGAUGUACAGAAACUUGUAAAUGGGUGUAUACAGAGCAUGUAAAUAACUAAAUAUUUCAGUUAUGCAGUUCAGUUUGAAAGUUUUAAAUUACA